Molecule: long non-coding RNA, 2257 nt
Organism: Lactuca sativa (garden lettuce)
Lineage: Eukaryota; Viridiplantae; Streptophyta; Magnoliopsida; Asterales; Asteraceae
Source: RefSeq, a predicted model, not a curated record
UAAUAUCUCCAAAGCAAUGCUCGUAAUGAACGAUCCAUCCGGAGUUCCAAGUUCAACACAAGAUGGGUCAAAUUUGGGAACAUAGGAAAACGGUUACUAUCUGCAAAUGAAAGAGUCUUCUCAUGGGAAUGAAAAAACACACAAACACAAAAAUCUAUUUAUCAAUCUUGGUUUAAAGAGGCGAGUUUUAAUAUAUUCCAUUUAAUAUGUAGAUUAGGUUGUCAAUUACCUCCAAGGUCAGAUCACAUAAUGUCAAAGACAUCAUGAUAUUUUGAAGUUGAUAGAGUAGAUCAAGAGAGCUCGAGAUGCGACUUCCAUUCUUGUAUUUCUGGUCUGCCUUCUCUGCCAUCCAUAGCCACCCUUCUUUUUCACCCUUCUCCGAAACCCUAAUCCGUCGCUUAGUUUUCUCCAUCUUCUUCAAAGCAAAUUUUAAACUGCCUUUCCCCAUUCCAUUUCACGAGUUUUUCUACCCGUUUUCGCACUUUCUCAGAAACCAAGCCGCCUCUGCCACUCUCAACGCCCCCUCCCCGUUCCACCAUCAAGAAACUCUAUUCUCUUGCUUCUGCUGCCACCAACCGUCACCACAUUCCCUCACCUCUAUUACGGCCCAUACAUAAGUUUGCUUUUUCUCUCUAUCUCCCACUGUUUCUCCAAGAAAACCCUAGCCCUAAAAACAACCACCCAGUUUUACGAAUUUUAUGUAUGGUUUAUAUGAUAGGCUUCGUGAAGAACAAUACUACCAAAUUUAUGCAAUGGUUGAAGGUUUGUCAACACAUAACUAACCCGCCAGAUGUGUGAAGAAGAUGAUGAAGAUGAACUAAAAUGGCCUGAUGGACAGAUAUUGACUCAAAUGUAGACUCUGGAUCGAUGUUAGAAGUUGUGAGUGUAGAGUAUAUAUGCUACUGAGAUUGUAUGCUGCAAAAUUCGUUUUUCCAAGUUGAAGCUUUCAUUAAACUAUGCGCUUGACAAAUCCAUCAGCAAGUUGGUUUAUUUUUAACAGAAGCAAGCUUAGAUUUUCAUUGUUGCAGAUAUGUCAACAAAGCGUUUUCAUUGCUCCACAUCCAGCCAAGGUCGCCUCAAGGUGUUGGGUGGGGGUGAACAUCAACUUUACAAUAAGGUGCUGGUACUGGUACUUAUCUUACAGGUUUAAUUUGGUCAAAUUUUUUGCCACCCUUUCUUUGAGCUUGACUGUUAAAUGUAUAUGAUGCUAUAGAUGAAAGAUAUGUUCAAUGCUUAUGUUACAAGGUUAUGUUGUUCAACCAUGUGAUUUGGGGCUUACAAUGAAGCUUAUGUUAGAUAAACAAACCUAUGGUACAUCUUUCAAGGUUUUUAUUGCGUUUGACUAUAUUCUUCCAUGGUUAUCUUUUUGAAUUUCAAGUGCUGACUUAGUUUGACAUCAACAGUUGUAGAUAAUAGUUUAUCUAUCCAAAUUUGAUAUUGACCAUAUUGCCCUUGGACAAAAACUUAAAAUGAACAAUAUACCACAAGGACUAAAUUUGUAAUUUUCAUUUAUCCUUGAAUAAAAGUUUAUAACAUUGUUAAAAAUGGUUUUCCUUUUUGAAAGUUUAAAGCAAAAUCAAAGGAUAAUACAUUAUUCCCAAAUAUGGUUCCUGUGGUGUACUUCUUUCAACUUUCUAUGGGCAAAAUUUUCAUUUAAAAGUUUUAAUAGCUAUACUAUUAUAUAGAAACUUUUUAAAAGAAACCUAAAAAACAAGGACUAAUAGAAACUUUUUUGGCACUGAAAUUGUAAAAAUUAGUGAUCUAAAAUGUAUUUUAGUUGAAAAAAAAACAGAAAUUGCAUUCUUAUUUAUGACACCUUACGUUCCUCUAUAUGUGUUUUGUGGCAAUAUACAUACGGCUAUAUACAAAAGUAGGAAUGCAUAUUAAUUAAUUUAAUUUAUUAUUGUAAUUUACUUUUUUUUUUGUAUAAUGCGUUUGUGUCACUAUUGUAGUUCAUCUUUUAACAUUUUCCUUAGUCUAAGAUUUCAAAGUCCAUGGUGGUUGUGAUUUAGGAUGGUUAGUGUAUACCAUAAUACGUGUGUGGUGGCAUCUGUAGCGCUAGGGCUGGUUCAGGGCGAGACAUGUAGCAGUUCACAACCAUGUAAUGAUUUUAAAGCAGGCUUUCACAUUUAUAAAAUAAAAAAGUAUAUUAAUAUUUUCAAUAGUUCACAAAUUGUAUGAUUUUGUACAAACACCAGGAUUCAACUUGUAUUAAUGAAAAGCUUCAACCUCAUCCUUAAAAUGUUGAAGAAGAUCA